ACAGACAGCCCGCAGAAGGGCAGCAACGUUUUGGAGCUCCUUUUAGUUCUCUUUAUUGAUAUAUUUUAAUUGAACCCAGAUUUUUUUUUUCCUGUCUAGCCCUUGGAGACAAGCUCUGCCAGAGCUCGUAUAGCAGAGAGAAGGUCUUGAGAUUAGUGAUACUCAGCGUUUCUGACACUGGAGACCUGCAUAAGAAUUUAACAAACUGGGAAGCAGUUUUCAUGACAACCCUUUUCAUUGCAUAGAUGUUACCAAGAGUUUGGGGGUGUUUUUAAGAAAAGCCAUUAGGCUGGAAGUCAGACACACCUGGAUUUGAGAUCCGCUCUGCUACUUCGUACUUGCGUGGUUUUGAGGAAUCAUUUGGCCUCUUUUCAGGUUUUAGAUCCUUCACCUGUAAAAUGAGGAUGGUUGUGAGAAAGGGAAAUUGCUCUGUAAACAGUGAAGCACUAUUCAAAUGCUCAGGCUUUGUAAAAAAUUGAUGGAAAAUGUCAUAAGAAGUGGGCAGUUCUGGUUUGCUUCCAUUGCUAUAGGAAGCUGGCACACACAAGAAAGUUUAUUGACAGCAGCUGAGAUGUGCUGAAGCUGGUAAUUAUCUUCAAGACAGGCUGAGUUUUGAUUAACCUCCCACCGGCAUCCUUAGCCUGAUCUGGCCCCUCCACUGGCCUCUGAGUGUGGAGUGAGACAGAGCUGAAAUGGAGAAGCCGGGCUUGGCUGGAAGCGAGGAGGGUGGAAGUGAAGUCCGUCACCGCUGGUGGGAGUGUCGGCCACAACAGUAUGUCCCCUCCUGCAUAGCUUCCUGAACUGUGACCUUGCCACUCUUCCAUCACGAGGUGGUGUCUGUUUCACCACCUCCUGAAGCUGGGCAGGCCCUGGAAGUGAUGCUGUGCUACUCCCAGGCAGAGCCUUUCAUGGGCCCGGUGGCUUUGCUUUCUGCCUCUUGGAAGCCGGCUACAAUGAAGGAAGUUUGUCUAUAUCCUGAGACCACUAUGCUGUGAGCAGCCCGUGAACCCACCGGAGAGGUCUUGCAGGAGGAAAUGGCCCAUGGAGAGAGAGAGAAGCCAAGGAUCACAAGGCACCAGACCCAGAACUUUUAAUAUUACAGAAUUUUAACAAUUUCUCUGAUUCUAUACUGUAUCUCUCCUAUGCUUAAAGUCUAGAAUCCCAAUGGCAUUCAUUAACAUAAUCACUGAUCUUACAAUAUAUAUACAAUAAAUUUAUAUACGAUAAAUAA
This is a long non-coding RNA of Homo sapiens (human), 1231 nucleotides long. NCBI's taxonomy places the organism in Eukaryota, Metazoa, Chordata, Mammalia, Primates, Hominidae. The record is from Ensembl.